AUGACAUACAACUCACUUCCUGUGUUCCAGAUAUCAAACUUGGCCUCAAGAGCAUCACACAUAUCCUUACCAACCAUGAUGGUCAUGAAGGGAUUGACAAUCUUGCCGCCAAGAACACUCAGAACGACACAUAUGAAGAUUGAAGAGGGUGUCUGUAGCAUCGAAAGUUUGCCCCUAUUCGAGAGUAAGCGCUUCCUUUGGCUUGCCCUUAUAGGCGUGAAAACAACUCAUGUUGGUAAGCCAGAAAACUGCCCUCGCACACCACCUCAAAUAAUUUACCCCUCAAAUGUAGCACAUUUGAGAGUCGCGACAAAUGCAAUUGAAGAAAAUUGCCCACACAUAUCAGGUUUUUGA
This 354-nucleotide ribosomal RNA is filed under the name Triticum aestivum (bread wheat). RNAcentral describes it as "partial small subunit ribosomal RNA". Lineage: Eukaryota; Viridiplantae; Streptophyta; Magnoliopsida; Poales; Poaceae. The record is from RNAcentral.